Long non-coding RNA from Zea mays, 1840 nucleotides. RefSeq lists it as uncharacterized. Lineage: Eukaryota; Viridiplantae; Streptophyta; Magnoliopsida; Poales; Poaceae. The record is from RefSeq and is a predicted model, not a curated record. The transcript has 2 exons.
CCCAGACUGCAGUGCCGCGCUCCUGCACUGUGCCUUGUCGCUGACAUCAUGGGCCCAGGCGUCAGGUGCUGCAUCUACCUGCCAUCAUGAAACACCCCAACAGACUCUGUUCUGUUGCGCAAUUUCGACGGGUAUUUGCCACCGGACUUCGCGAUUUUGGAGCUCCAACGAAUAAAUACGGUGCCCUGCCUUUCCCCUAGCUAUCCUCAUCACAAAAAACUCCACAAACCGAGUUCACGGGAGAGGUUCUGUGGGUCUGCCGUGCGCUCGCGGGACAUCCUCGCCGUCGUGCGCGUCCACCAUUGACCGAGCUCCGAGUGAAGUCCUGGUGCGGUUCGGGCUUACUGGUGGUCUUAGGGGGUUUCGAUUUGGCGGAGAUUCUUCUCUGGUCGACCUCGUCGCUGCCGCUGUGCAGCGCGCCGCCAUGGCCGCAGGAACCCCGCCGUCGUGGAAGGUCGUAAUCCGCCGUCUGGGCUAACCCGUGCCGGCCUGGGAGUUUCUCCUCAAUACCCUGCUGGUGUCCGCGGCUUCUUCAGGCAAACCUUGCGGCUGGGGUGGAGUGAAUUGGACACCGGAGGAAAAGUUCCGCCGUGUGCUCGCUCCUCACCGUGGUCAGGGCACUGGGCUGCAUACAUCUCGAAGAGCCUGUGACUGAGGAUCCUGGUGACCAACAGAUAGAAGUAGCUGAGCAGGAGCUCAUUGAAGGCAAGUUGUCCCCUUGACCACUUUUUACCCAAUAAUGUUCUUUAAUAUCAUUUAUUCAUGCAUAGGUUAAUUUUUAUGGGACCCAAUAGGUUACCCUAGAUUAUUUAUCUCAUUACCUUGUUUACCCCUGAAUCACUUGGGUAGUUCGCUAUUGCUUUACAUGGAUCUGGGAUAAUUAUUUAUCAUAUCUAUGUUCCAGUUAUUUUGUUAUUCUAUUUAUGUUCAUGUCAAGAUCAAUAAUGUUAAUUGGAACAUAGAGCUUAACUUGAGAAACACGUGCCACCACAAGUGUUUAUGGACGCCCUUGGCUGAUUAAUUAGGAAAGCUAGUGGAUGACUACCUUACCCGAAAGGGGCAAGGGCAGUAGGGGAGUGGUCAGUGUAGGGAGGUCCUUGGUUGAUUUUGUUGCGAUGGCGGUCAGGCAAGAACCCUGCAUUGGAGCUUCCUAUAAACUGUAGCGGGUUUUCUGAAGCUAGUGGAACUUUGUAAAGGCCUCGUAGUGUUACCCUGCCUCGCCUUCUCGGUAGAGGUGUAUGGGAAGUCGUGAUCCCUUGGCGGAUGGGUAACAUGACUUGUGGGUAAAGGGUACAACCUCUGCAGAGUGUAAAACUGGUAUACUAGCCGAGCUCACGGUCAUGAGCAGCUCAGGACUCUCUGAUGAUUAAUUUAUGGAACUAAAUUCAAUUUGUCAUAUGCAUUGCAUCGCAGGUGAUGAUGUUACUUUUGUUCUACUACUUAAUUGGGUUGGUAUUUACUUAUACUUAGUGUUGGGACUAUGCUUCGUCGCCGAAGGUCUUGUAGGAAGAAGCGGUUUUCGGCUGAAGCUGUUUGUAUGGGAUGGCCGAAGGUUCCUCUUCAUGAAGCUUCGGUAUUACAAACCGACUUAAAGAUAGAAUGACCUUUUAGUCCAUAAGGGUCUGAGUCAAUGUUGUAAACUUUUAUGAGGGACAUAAUUGUAAUUCUUCACAGGCUGAGUCCUGUGUCUAUAAAUAGUGAACAAUAUUCCUUUACUGUUCACGGAUUCUGGUAUUGGCAAUAGCAUCAUUCAGGAAUCAACCUUUGCCAAGACAGAGGUAUAACUGUAUUCAAUGAUUCAAUAUAUUGAUUAAAUAUAAUUUGAUUCAUUUACCUUUGA